UACGUAGGGUGCGAGCGUUGUCCGGAUUUAUUGGGCGUAAAGGGCUCGUAGACGGCGUGUCGCGUCGGGAGUGAAAGACCGGGGCUUAACCCCGGUUCUGCUUCCGGUACGGGCAGACUAGAGUGUGGUAGGGGAGACUGGAAUUCCUGGUGUAGCGGUGAAAUGCGCAGAUAUCAGGAGGAACACCGAUGGCGAAGGCAGGUCUCUGGGCCACUACUGACGCUGAGAAGCGAAAGCAUGGGGAGCGAACAGG
This 253-nucleotide ribosomal RNA is filed under the name uncultured bacterium. RNAcentral's name for it is "partial 16S ribosomal RNA". It matches the Rfam family "Bacterial small subunit ribosomal RNA", at positions 524 to 776 of the family's 1533-position model. The record is from RNAcentral.